Molecule: ribosomal RNA, 272 nt
Filed under: uncultured soil bacterium
Lineage: Bacteria
Description: partial 16S ribosomal RNA
Rfam family: Bacterial small subunit ribosomal RNA
Source: RNAcentral
AGAAUCAACGCUGGCGGCGUGCCUAACACAUGCAAGUCGAACGCGAAAGCCCCGAAAGGGGUAAGUAGAGUGGCAAACGGGUGAGUAACGCGUGGGUGACCUGCCUUCGAGCGGGGGAUAACGUCCCGAAAGGGACGCUAAUACCGCAUAACAUCCUGCCUUUGAAGAGGUGGAGAUCAAAGCUGGGGAUCGCAAGACCCGGCACUUGAAGAGGGGCCCGCGUCUGAUUAGCUAGUUGGUGGGGUAAUGGCCUACCAAGGCAACGAUCAGUA